RNAcentral lists this ribosomal RNA (427 nucleotides) under uncultured Massilia sp. RNAcentral describes it as "bacterial SSU rRNA". It matches the Rfam family "Bacterial small subunit ribosomal RNA", at positions 355 to 774 of the family's 1533-position model. The record is from RNAcentral. Lineage: Bacteria; Pseudomonadati; Pseudomonadota; Betaproteobacteria; Burkholderiales; Oxalobacteraceae.
UGGGGAAUUUUGGACAAUGGGCGCAAGCCUGAUCCAGCAAUGCCGCGUGAGUGAAGAAGGCCUUCGGGUUGUAAAGCUCUUUUGUCAGGGAAGAAACGGCCGGGGAUAAUACCUUCGGCUAAUGACGGUACCUGAAGAAUAAGCACCGGCUAACUACGUGCCAGCAGCCGCGGUAAUACGUAGGGUGCGAGCGUUAAUCGGAAUUACUGGGCGUAAAGCGUGCGCAGGCGGUUUUGUAAGUCUGACGUGAAAUCCCCGGGCUUAACCUGGGAAUUGCGUUGGAGACUGCAAGGCUGGAGUCUGGCAGAGGGGGGUAGAAUUCCACGUGUAGCAGUGAAAUGCGUAGAGAUGUGGAGGAACACCGAUGGCGAAGGCAGCCCCCUGGGUCAAGACUGACGCUCAUGCACGAAAGCGUGGGGAGCAAACA